Molecule: ribosomal RNA, 564 nt
Filed under: Amycolatopsis sp. 340C11
Lineage: Bacteria; Bacillati; Actinomycetota; Actinomycetes; Pseudonocardiales; Pseudonocardiaceae
Also listed under: 1 other name
Description: bacterial SSU rRNA
Rfam family: Bacterial small subunit ribosomal RNA
Source: RNAcentral
GAGUGGCGAACGGGUGAGUAACACGUGGGUAAUCUGCCCUGCANUCUGGGAUAAGCCUUGGAAACGGGGUCUAAUACCGGAUAUCACAACUUCAGGCAUCUGGGGUUGUUGAAAGUUCUGGCGGUGCAGGAUGAACCCGCGGCCUAUCAGCUUGUUGGUGGGGUAAUGGCCUACCAAGGCGACGACGGGUAGCCGGCCUGAGAGGGUGACCGGCCACACUGGGACUGAGACACGGCCCAGACUCCUACGGGAGGCAGCAGUGGGGAAUAUUGCACAAUGGGCGAAAGCCUGAUGCAGCGACGCCGCGUGAGGGAUGACGGCCUUCGGGUUGUAAACCUCUUUCGCCAGGGACGAAGCGCAAGUGACGGUACCUGGAUAAGAAGCACCGGCUAACUACGUGCCAGCAGCCGCGGUAAUACGUAGGGUGCAAGCGUUGUCCGGAAUUAUUGGGCGUAAAGAGCUCGUAGGCGGUUUGUCACGUCGGCCGUGAAAUCUCCACGCUUAACGUGGAGCGUGCGGUCGAUACGGGCAGACUUGAGUUCGGUAGGGGAGACUGGAAUUCCU